AGCGAACGCUGGCGGCAGGCCUAACACAUGCAAGUCGAACGAACCUUUCGGGGUUAGUGGCGGACGGGUGAGUAACACGUGGGAACGUGCCUUUAGGUUCGGAAUAACUCAGGGAAACUUGUGCUAAUACUGAAUGUGCCCUUCGGGGGAAAGAUUUAUCGCCUUUAGAGCGGCCCGCGUCUGAUUAGCUAGUUGGUUGAGGUAAUGGCUCACCAAGGCGACGAUCAGUAGCUGGUCUGAGAGGAUGAUCAGCCACAUUGGGACUGAGACACGGCCCAAACUCCUACGGGAGGCAGCAGUGGGGAAUCUUGCGCAAUGGGCGAAAGCCUGACGCAGCCAUGCCGCGUGAAUGAUGAAGGUCUUAGGAUUGUAAAAUUCUUUCACCGGGGACGAUAAUGACGGUACCCGGAGAAGAAGCCCCGGCUAACUUCGUG
RNAcentral lists this ribosomal RNA (434 nucleotides) under uncultured bacterium. RNAcentral describes it as "partial 16S ribosomal RNA". It matches the Rfam family "Bacterial small subunit ribosomal RNA", at positions 29 to 507 of the family's 1533-position model. The record is from RNAcentral.